UCAUUGGUGGUUCAAUGGUAGAAUUCUCACUUUCCAAGCAGCAGACCUGGGUUCGACUCCUGGCAAAUGCA
RNAcentral lists this transfer RNA (71 nucleotides) under Loxodonta africana (African savanna elephant). It matches the Rfam family "tRNA". From Rfam's summary of the family: Transfer RNA (tRNA) molecules are approximately 80 nucleotides in length. Their secondary structure includes four short double-helical elements and three loops (D, anti-codon, and T loops). Lineage: Eukaryota; Metazoa; Chordata; Mammalia; Proboscidea; Elephantidae. The record is from Rfam by way of RNAcentral.